Molecule: ribosomal RNA, 394 nt
Filed under: uncultured bacterium
Lineage: Bacteria
Description: bacterial SSU rRNA
Rfam family: Bacterial small subunit ribosomal RNA
Source: RNAcentral
GGGGAAUAUUGCACAAUGGGCGAAAGCCUGAUGCAGCAACGCCGCGUGAGUGAUGAAGGCCUUCGGGUUGUAAAGCUCUGUCUUCUGGGACGAUAAUGACGGUACCAGAGGAGGAAGCCACGGCUAACUACGUGCCAGCAGCCGCGGUAAUCCGUAGGUGGCAAGCGUUGUCCGGAUUUACUGGGCGUGAAGGAUGCGUAGGCGGAUACUUAAGUCAGAUGUGAAAAUCCCGGGCUUAACUUGGGAACUGCAUUUGAAACUGGGUAUCUAGAGUGCGGGAGAGGAAAGUGGAAUUCCUAGUGUAGCGGUGAAAUGCGUAGAGAUUAGGAAGAACACCAGUGGCGAAGGCGACUUUCUGGACCGGAACUGACGCUGAGGCAUGAAAGCGUGGGGA